AGUCACUGACAUUAGAUACCCCCUGUAGUCCAGGGUGUAAACGCUGCAGACUUGGUGUUGGAAGUCCUUUGGGGGCAUUCAGUGCCGGAGAGAAGUUGUUAAGUCUGCUACUUGGGGAGUACGUCCGCAAGGAUGAAACUUAAAGGAAUUGGCGGGGGAGCACCGCAACGGGAGGAGCGUGCGGUUUAAUUGGAUUCAACACCGUAAAACUCACCAGGGAAGACUGUUACAUGAAGGCCGAGAUGAAGACUCUGCUAGAUUUUCAG
RNAcentral lists this ribosomal RNA (266 nucleotides) under uncultured archaeon. RNAcentral describes it as "partial 16S ribosomal RNA". It matches the Rfam family "Archaeal small subunit ribosomal RNA", at positions 718 to 982 of the family's 1478-position model. The record is from RNAcentral.